AUGGCUACAUCUGAAACUAAUAAAUAUAUGUACAAUAUAUAAUAGUAUAUGCAUUUCUGGAUGUGUAUACUAAAUAUUUUUCUACGUGUGUGUGUGUGUGUGUGUGUGUACACAUAUUUUACAAAUUAAAUAGAGUAAACAAUAAAUAAAAUAUAUAAAAUAAAAUAUACAGAGUGAGACAUGUGCAAAACAGUGGCGUUACUGUACAGUAUGGAGUGCAUAAUGUUAAAGUUCCAGUAGUGAAGCUGAGGUGUCUAUGAAGUGUUCAGCAGUCUGAUGGCCUGAUGGAAAAAGCUGUCUCUCAGUCUGCUGGUACGGGACCGGAUGCUGCAGAACCUCCUUCCUGAUGGAAGUAGUCUGAACAGUUUAUGGCUGGGGUGACUGGAGUCCUUGAUGAUCAUAUCAGUGUAACAAUAAAAUCAGCCUAUUGGUUGUGGCAACUUGGGGGUUAUAUUCAAUCAAUCAAUCAGUCAAUCAAUCAAUCAAUCAUUCAAGGCUUUAUUCGCCACAUGCAGGUUACAGUGGAAUGGGACCCCCCACCCCUCCGACCUUACACACACAACACAGACAUCACAUGGGGAUACAGGUCGGAGAUCGGUAGCGUUACAGAAAAACACUGAAAUAUACACUACAAUGGGAAAGUACAAGAGGAAAAAAAAAGACCUCUACUCAUGCUGGGCUCCUAUGGGAGGACAGCAUGAGAACAGGAAACAAAGAAACUCCUCUGCACAAAAAGCACAUAAAUGUCCACAGCACAACAUUAUGGAACACGUGACAAGCCAUAUUGGUAUAUUGAGUUUGCAAAGUUUGCAAAGUACAGUAAUUCAGAGUUGAUGUAUGGUUGUUUCCUUUGGGUUUCUUCUUAGGCUGGCCAAAAUGCCACCUAGGAUGUAAAACCAUUGCAUGUCUAAGUAGUAGAACAUCUUCCUUUAUUCCCAAUUUAAAAAACAAAAAAACAAAAACAGCCCAUAAAGCAUAAAACUAGUUCUUGUCAUUUAAAAAAAAAUUUCAACAAAUGUAAGACUUACAAAAAAAAAUCCCACAGUGAACAACAACUUGAAUGUUCAUCCCAGCAUUCCCUUUUUCCUGACACUUGAUUGAUGAGCAGCACCCUGUCAAUCCAGUUCCUGCUAAAGACGCCUUUUCCCCAGCUGAUGGCUGAGGAUGAUUAGAGAACAAGCCACCAAUGGGAACCCCAGUAGCAGCCCUCCAGGUGUCUUAGGCCUUGCCUUCUUCCUUCGAUUUUGACUUGUGGGGUGAAUCUUUGUAACCCAUACAAAAUAAGUGGUCAACACUGUUGCCAGCAUUCAUGCUUGCGAGUAGUGCAUUAUGUGUUAAUUAUCGUGUGGUUAUCUCACAGUGUUUUGUAUGUGGUGGAAGCCACAAUAACAACAUAGAUAUGCUAGUAAUUUUUCCCCCCUCCUGCGCCCCUACUUGUUGUUGAGUGGUUGUUAUUUUGUGUUCACUUUGGGCUUCAAAGAACUAAAAGGCCUUGAUAAAGCCCUCAUUAUACACUGUUGUUGGACACAGAUGGCUGACAACAUGACAGCAGGAGAGUCAUUCCUGUGACACCUCUUUGAAAUCCACCACUUGAGGCACAUGUGCAGUUAGGGUUGCCAACUCCCUGAAAAAUAAAUAAGGGACACCUCGUGGCCAGGGCCGGGCGACCCAGUUGUCUUCACCCUUCCCAGUGUGGUGAAUUUUCUAGCUCUUUUUUUGUGUGUGAAAUUAUUUUUUUAACCAUUUGACUUGAAGUUGAUUUAAGUAGAUGCAUAUUCUUUGUGAUAUGAACACAUGUGAAACAAAUGAUCAUUUAGCCAUUUAUUUU
This is a long non-coding RNA of Astatotilapia calliptera (eastern happy), 1828 nucleotides long. The record is from Ensembl. NCBI's taxonomy places the organism in Eukaryota, Metazoa, Chordata, Actinopteri, Cichliformes, Cichlidae.